Manihot esculenta (cassava) is the source of this 2803-nucleotide RNA transcript. It is a transcript of the gene named bifunctional TH2 protein, mitochondrial, with no coding region annotated. NCBI's taxonomy places the organism in Eukaryota, Viridiplantae, Streptophyta, Magnoliopsida, Malpighiales, Euphorbiaceae. The record is from RefSeq and is a predicted model, not a curated record. The transcript is spliced from 7 exons.
UCACACUCGUCCCCUACGCGCAUAACCCACAGCUGCCAACUCACACACUCGCAUUUUCCCUCUCUCUCUUGAUGCGCCUGCGCUUCCUCCCUCCAAGCCCAAUCAAAACCUCACUGUUCCAUCUCCUCUUCCCCCCCAACUCGCUCCGAACCAACUCUGUCAACUCGCCCAGACUCUUCUCAACUCGGAGAUCGUCACUUCCUAGAAUGGCGAUCCCUCCUAAGCUGAUAUCCUCUUCCUCUUCCUCCAUCGCUACUAGUGCUCCAGGAAACAGCCUGGAAUGUCUCGCUAGUAAAUUGUGGAUCAAGUUCCGCCGAGAAUCAAUUUUCGCUAUGUACACUCCCUUCGUUGUUUGCUUAGCGGCUGGAAACCUGAAGAUUGAGACUUUUAGGAAUUAUAUCUCUCAAGAUUUACACUUUCUUAAAGCCUUUGCCCAUGCGUAUGAGUUGGCAGAAGAAUGUGCUGAUGAUGAUGAUGCAAAGAUAGCUAUCACUGAGUUGAGGAAGAGGGUCUUGGAGGAGCUAAAGAUGCACAAUUCAUUUGCACAGGAAUGGGGUACUAUAGACCUUUCUAAAGAGGGGCCUAUCAACUCUGCAACUGUAAAAUACAAAGAUUUCUUGUUAGCUACGGCUUCUGGGAAGGUUGAAGGAGUUAAAGGUCCUGGAAAACUUGCAACUCCUUUUGAAAGAACAAAAGUUGCAGCUUAUACUCUUGGUGCCAUUACACCUUGCAUGCGGCUGUAUGCUUUUCUAGCUAAGGAGUUGCAAGCACUUGUGGAUUCAGAGGAUGGUAGUCAUCCUUAUAAGAAGUGGAUUGACAAUUACUCAUCUGAUGGUUUUCAGGCAUCAGCUCUGCAAACUGAAGACUUGCUGGAUAAACUUAGUGUCUCUUUGACAGGCGAAGAGCUUGACAUCAUUGAAAAGCUUUAUCACCAGGCCAUGAAACUUGAAAUCGAGUUCUUCAAUGUGCAGCCACUUUCUCAGCCCGCUGUGGUUCCUCUAACAAAAGAGCAUAACCCUGUAGAAGAUCGCCUCGUGAUAUUUUCUGAUUUUGAUUUGACAUGCACUAUUGUUGAUUCCUCUGCCAUUUUGGCAGAGAUUGCAAUCAUAACAGCACCCAAAUCUGAUCAGGCUCAACCUGGCAAUCAGAUUGCUAGGAUGUCAUCAGCUGAUCUGAGGAACACUUGGGGUCUUCUCUCUGGCCAAUACACAGAAGAAUAUGAACAAUGUAUAGAAAGCAUUCUGCCCCCUGAAAAAGUGGAAUUCAACUAUGAAGUUCUGUGUAAAGCACUUGAGCAACUUUCAGACUUCGAGUCAAAGGCAAAUGCUAGAGUGAUUGAAUCUGGAGUUCUUAAGGGUCUGAAUCUUGAAGACAUUAAAAGAGCUGGUGAACGACUGAUUUUUCAAGAUGGUUGCACCAGCUUUUUUCAGAAAAUUGUGAAGAACGAAAAUUUGAAUGCUAAUGUACAUGUGCUUUCAUAUUGUUGGUGUGCUGAUCUCAUCAGAUCUGCUUUCUCAUCAGGGGGUUUGGAUGCUCUGAAUAUACAUGCAAAUGAGUUCUCUUUCGAAGUUUCAUUUUCCACAGGCGACAUUAUUAAAAAGGUGGAAUCUCCCAUAGACAAAGUUCAAGCUUUCAAUAACAUUUUAGAGAACUAUGGCACUGACAGAAAGAACUUGACUGUCUAUAUUGGAGACUCAGUUGGCGACCUGCUUUGUCUGCUUCAGGCGGAUAUAGGCAUUGUGAUUGGGUCUAGCUCAAGCCUAAGGAGAGUGGGAAGUCAGUUUGGUGUGUCGUUUUUACCAUUGUUUCCUGGCUUGGUUAAAAAACAGAAAGAGUAUAUCAAGGAAAGUUCUUCUAAUUGGAAUGGGCAAUCUGGCAUCCUGUACACAGUUUCUAGCUGGGCUGAAAUACAUGCUUUCAUUUUGGGGUGGUAGAAUUUUUUUUUGUUCUCACGCUAUCUUCUGGAAGUUAGCAAGGACAAAUGAAGGAAUCAUUAUAUAAAAUGGAACCCACAUACAAAUUGGUGGCUAAAUUUUAUUAGGGCCACGGAAUUUCUUCUGUUUCCCUUAUUCUUUACAGGGUCAUCCAUUCUGAACAUGAUGCUACUUUGUUGGCUGGAUAAUGCAGUGAACUUGGCAUCGAGAGGCCGUAGGAAGCAUGCAUUAUAAGAAGAGUUGCUAUCAAUUUGUUCAUAUGAGCAUGCAUUAUAAGAAGAGUUGCUAUCAAUUUGUUCAUAUGAAUAUUUCAGAUAUUAAUACUGAUACUCCUAUAUAUUUGUGCAAGUCAGAUGCUAUUGCAAAUAUGAUUUUUGGCAGAUAUAGCAUUUUGGAAUUAUAACAUGUGAAUUUUAGUUGACGCCAGAUGUAGAAGGAUUAGGUUCCUUCUGGCAAUUGUUUGUAUGCUGCGGCUCUUAUGCUCGGUGAGAGGACACACCCCCUUGGUAGAUUUAUUGCUGAAGCAUUGUGUCUCUAUAUACUUGAGUAAUAUUUCUUGACAAUUUUGCUGAGGUGAUCUGCAAAAUCACCGUUUUGGCCCUGCUCGGGAUGCUGGCCAAUGACUUGUAGCUUCAGUAGCUUUACUUCUCUAUCCUAGCUCAUAAAAACUAUAAUGAUAUUUAUCUUUUUUUCUUUUUUGAAAUAUGCUUCAUUUAGCAUUUAAAGCUUUUAGUAGGACAGUGCAUGAAAGGGAGGGGGAAGACUCGAACUUAAAAUUUCGAAAGUAAGCAUUAUGCCUUUUGGCCAGUUAAACUAGGCUGCGUGGAUUAUUUCUCCAACUCAUUUAAAAGGAAAUUGUCUUCUUGAUC